Long non-coding RNA from Aethalodelphis obliquidens (Pacific white-sided dolphin), 954 nucleotides. RefSeq lists it as uncharacterized. The transcript is spliced from 2 exons. The record is from RefSeq and is a predicted model, not a curated record. Lineage: Eukaryota; Metazoa; Chordata; Mammalia; Artiodactyla; Delphinidae.
GACCAGGGCUCGAACCCGUGUCCCCUGCAUUGGCAGGCGGAUUCUUAACCACUGCGCCACCAGGGAAGCCCAAGUUAAAGAAUUUUUAACUUUUUUUCACUUGAGUUGUGUACUUCAUUGGUAUUUCACCUCUUAGGUUGGCCCUUAGAUUACAUCUUUUCAGGACCUCUCCGAGUGUGAAGAGCAACAGUAGGCUGACUGAACACCCUCUUUCCAGAGAAGGGGCAAAAGGGAAGAAAAAUUAGCACCACUGGCCUAAGUGUAGGUGGGGCUUGUGAGGUUUAGGAAGUUGCUCCCCUCUUGUGGCCAAUCCUGGAAACAACAGCCAAGAAACGUGUUCUAGGGCCCUGUCUUUUCAUUGUUUUCCAGAUCAGCAGUCAGCAACACCUGGGAACUUGUUAGAUAUGCAAAAUCUCGGAAUUCAUCCCAGACCUGCUGAAUCAGAAAAUUUGCUGAACCCCACCCCCAAUCUCUUUUAAAAGCCCUUCAGAUGAUUCUGAGGAACGCUGCAACUUUGAAUGAGCUGCAGGCAAGGGUGGACCACCACCAAUGGCCUCACCUAUGCCAGCUAAAACUUUUCACCGGAUGCCGAUGUGGAUUUGCCAUCAUUGAACCUAGCAGACCCAUGAUGCAAACUUGGGUGUUCACGGAAGAUUGCAACGUCUUACUUGAGAAAGGACUCAAUGUAAAGCCUGUGUCGGGAGGAGUGGGGAUGAUGUGUUCCAGAACUCAAAUCCAGCCUGAUUGAGUCCUCUCAGUGCAGUGGGAUACACAAUACCCCUUUACCAUCUCCCCACCCCACGAGGAAGCAUGAACUUGGCUGGGAUGACUUCAUAAGUGCAGCUGAUCCCGUGUCAGAGUUCUGUGUGCAUGUGGAGGACCCACAAGAGGAGAGUAGAGGUGUUCUCCAGGAUAACCAGCUUUAGGUUCUCAGGCAUAAAGGGUAAUACUGGA